UAAGGUGACUAUUGCGGUGGGGACCACCUCUUCCCAUUCCGAACAGAGUCGUUAAGACCACCCGCGCCAAUGGUACUGGGAUAAAACCUGGGAGAGUAGGUCGUCGCCUGAC
This 112-nucleotide ribosomal RNA is filed under the name Cyclobacteriaceae bacterium. The record is from RNAcentral. Lineage: Bacteria; Pseudomonadati; Bacteroidota; Cytophagia; Cytophagales; Cyclobacteriaceae.